RNAcentral lists this ribosomal RNA (253 nucleotides) under uncultured bacterium. Its description in RNAcentral is "partial 16S ribosomal RNA". It matches the Rfam family "Bacterial small subunit ribosomal RNA", at positions 524 to 776 of the family's 1533-position model. The record is from RNAcentral.
UACAGAGGGUGCGAGCGUUGUUCGGAAUUACUGGGCGUAAAGGGCGCGUAGGCGGCUAGAUGUGUCAAAGGUGAAAUCCCUCGGCUCAACUGAGGAACUGCCUUUGAAACUGUCUGGCUUGAGGCCGGGAGAGGGUAGCGGAAUUCCCAGUGUAGCGGUGAAAUGCGUAGAUAUUGGGAGGAACACCAGUGGCGAAGGCGGCUACCUGGACCGGUUCUGACGCUGAGGCGCGAAAGCGUGGGUAGCAAACAGG